ACACAGUCCAAGAACUUUUUCACUUAACAGACAAGAAAAUUUAAAAUCGUUCCUCGGUUUAAUUCCUUGUUCUUCUCUUACAGCUUAUCAAAUGAUGUAAGGAAGAUGGAUACCAUGUUACUUAUUCAGUCCAUCCUAAGAAUUACAGAUGUUGGAUAAAGUCUCCCUCCUGUAACUGAAUCAGCAGCAUGACUAACGAGUGUUUCUCUCCAGUGAUCUAAUGGCCAUGCACAUUGCUACACUGUUCCCUACCAUAACAAGUUCACUGGAUUAUACAGUUUAUCCUCUACCAGAAGUGACAAAAUAAAAAGAUUGAUCUGAAAAUAUCUGCAUCUACCUCCUCCUCUGAACCUGUAUCUGGAAAUUAGAGAAGCAUUCACUGAGUUUGCAUAUAAUCCUGCAGAAUUAACAAGGUGAGUCUAAACUGUUUUAACUUCCCAUAUGAACCCAUAGCUGCAGAAUUUGUAUCUCCUUUCUCAUUCAUUUUCAACCUCUAUUUGUAUUUUUUCUUCACAGUUCAUCCUGUAUCUCUACAUAAAAUGAGAGUGAUUGAUCUGAAGUUGUUUGAAUAUCUGUUAUGUUACAGCCACAGCUCCUCCUCCAGCAGCUAUGAAAGCAGACAUGAGGAAAGCCCUCCCCAGCAGGCUUCACACCAUUUCAUUUAAGUGUUAUGAUGGAAUAUACAACACAAUUAGCAGAGCUUAUAGACGUCUGGUCAGACCUCCCUGUAAUGUAAAUUUCUGAUGUGCUUUAGGAGAUACAUCCCUAGACUUCCCCACUCCCCUCAUUUGUGUGUACUACAUGAACAAGCAGUCCUAACAGAGUGUGGUCAAAGAAUAAAAGCAAGCGUUUGCUACACAGGAGGGCUGGAGAGUAAGAGAUAAAGGCUGCCCAUAUCCGAGGAUGGCUGCAGUGUGGCCAAAGGACAGACACAAAGGUACUUACUGCCUCUCUAACACCACUGGCCAUAAACUUCCACUUGUUGAUUAUCUUUACUGCAACUUUAUUACAAGUGCUCUUCUCAAAUGCCAGCUUGACUUCUCCGCAGGCACCACUAGCAUGAAAGCACAGCUGUGUUAAUGCUUACAGAUACCUUCCUAACUUGGCCGAAGAAGCAUGCUGAAAUGAACAGGAGGCUCUCGCCUCAUUAAGAUUACAUGCAGUCAGAGGCUGCAGCUUUCCAUCUUUCUCAAUAUGACAGAUGAACAAAACUAUCUCAGAAAACAUAAUGAUAAAAAGCAUUAACUGAUCACUGAAGACAUACAAUAUAAUUUUGGUGAGGUUCACUAAAAUUACAAAUUCAUCUGCAUUCUUGAUAAUCUGGUCUUAAUAAAUACAGCGUGCCACAACGUGUCUUAGGCUAAAUCUGUUGUGUAAGCAAAUAUAUUGCCAAUAAGUGUCAGGUUUUGGCAUUCACAUAAAGUGAAAUAAUAAAGGAAUUGCUUCGUGGUCUCGGACAACGCAGUUGUUGAUCAACUUGAAGCUGCAGCUGGAAAAGUGUUUGUCAGUAGGACCACAUCUCAUUUGUGCUUCAUCUUCAUUAAAACCCACCACAGUCAUUGGAACGCUUAUCACAACCU
Non-coding RNA from Meleagris gallopavo (turkey), 1580 nucleotides. Lineage: Eukaryota; Metazoa; Chordata; Aves; Galliformes; Phasianidae. The record is from RefSeq and is a predicted model, not a curated record.